This 920-nucleotide long non-coding RNA is filed under the name Homo sapiens (human). RNAcentral's name for it is "long intergenic non-protein coding RNA 1515". The record is from RNAcentral. Lineage: Eukaryota; Metazoa; Chordata; Mammalia; Primates; Hominidae.
GGCACUACAAGUGACAUGCCACUGGGCAGCCUCUCAACUCAGGAGAUACAGUGUGGAAGAUCUUAUUGAAACCACCUUUGCAAAAAUUAUAACUGAGAAAACUAUGACAAUGAAAGAGAUCUACCUGAUUCCAUCUUGCUUCUAACCUCUACGCUCUCCUAAUUUAUACCUGGGUUUAGGCAGAACUAUUUUUUGGAGGAACUUAGUUUAUAGUUUAACUUUGGAACAAAGAUGAUCACAGCCUCAUCCCAAAACAAACUCCCUUCCUGCCUGGAGGCUAGAUUGCCUUUGUGGGACUAACAAAUUAGCUACAAGAUUAGAGAUUAUGAUUUAGGAGUCAUGCAUCUGGAGGCUACAAGAUGCUGAACCUCCCCAAAUUGCUUCUGGGGAUAACAUUACUUUUGUAAAACCUGAGAUCAGUGCUUGAGAUAUUUUACAGACACUGUACUUGAUGGCUUAUUUGGUCUUGUGGCCCCCACCCAGGAAUUGACUCAGUGCAAGAGGACAGCUGGGACUCCCAAUGAUUUCAUCUCUCACCGCACCAGUCAGCACUCCCCACUGUCCAACCCCUGCCACCAAAUUAUCCUUGAAAACCUCGAUCCCCAGGUUUUCAGGGAGACUGAUUUACGUAAUAAUAAAGCUCUGGUCUCCUGCACAGCUGGCUCUGUAUGAAUUAAACUCUUUAUUACAAUUCCCCUGUCUUGAUAAAUCGGCUCUGUCUAGGCAGAGGGCAAGGAAGACCCCUUGGGCAGUUACAUUAUCUCUUUUCUUCUUAGAACAUAAGUCUUUCUCCAUUGUAUUGAAAGGUCAUUAAGAGUCUGUUCAAAUAACUCAUAUGUGAAAUAUGACAAGAAUUCCAUACUAAUAUAAUGUUAUCCAGUAAUAUUUACAGCAAAGUUACUAUUUAUGCAGUGUUUUGC